This is a long non-coding RNA of Hyla sarda, 225 nucleotides long. RefSeq lists it as uncharacterized. Lineage: Eukaryota; Metazoa; Chordata; Amphibia; Anura; Hylidae. The transcript is spliced from 3 exons. The record is from RefSeq and is a predicted model, not a curated record.
GUGAAACUAAAAUUCAAAAUCAACAGUAAAAGACACUAAAAGAAACGUCGGAUGAAAAUAAAGGAUUCUAAACCAAGAACCCCAGAGAAGAACCCAAAUACAGACAGGGAAAGCUCUCGACUCCAAAAUAAGGCUGUAAAGAAAAAACAAGAAGCCGUCAUGAUUUGUUGUUCAGAGACAAAAGAAAAAGAACACAAAGUAACGGACACCAAAACUGUGAUAAUU